Molecule: long non-coding RNA, 1424 nt
Filed under: Capsicum annuum
Lineage: Eukaryota; Viridiplantae; Streptophyta; Magnoliopsida; Solanales; Solanaceae
Description: long non-coding RNA (CANN_LNC010943)
Source: RNAcentral
UUCCUUGCACAAACUCUAUAGAUUAGGAAUCCGAGCCUCAUAAAAUCUCUCUCCCAUCCAGAUCUUAAAAUUGUCUAUCCUCUCAUGUAUCUCUCUAGUUAAUCGCUCUAUAGCAUCCAUCAUCCUCGACUCAACCCGUGUCUCUAAUGCCUCUAAAGUUGUUUGCACCCAAGGCCAUAUUUGACAUAACAACUUUUCCAACUGGGUGUCGAUGUAUUUUUGGUGCGCUGCUAACUCCUACUGCCAAUCCACUAAUUGUUGUAAGAACUUAAGAGAGACAAUUACCAUAUCUGAAGUAGACGGACGAGGGGCGUUAUAGAAGUAGGAGCUAAAGCUGAAGUAUCUAUGGCCCCCUCACUGCCUGUAUCUACUGAAGUCUAUUAACUGGAUGCCUAUCUCAAGAUCUCCACCCAACGUCGACCUCUCAACAUAGUCAGCCGACCCUAAAGGCCCCUCAAAUAGGGUUGAUCCAAAAGAGGUAAAAGUUUGUGCUUUUUCUGUGCAACUGGGUUGGCACCAUUAUGAUCAACCCUACAUUAGCCAGUCGGGUUACCUCAAUAUGAUAAUUAAUAGAUGGUAGCACUGGUACUCCCGCUGCAUCAAAUAGUCUCUAAAUCAAGUAGGGGAAUUGAAUACUAGUGACCUCUCAAAAAGAUCUCUUAUGAAUCUAACUAUUAUGCUGGCACUAAGUACUGUCCGAUCCAAUAUAGUGCAUUAUCCACUUUUGUCGGGCACAACCUGUGCCAAACUAUGAACUACUCAAACUUUCUUACAAAGUACAGGGUGGACUUCUUGAGAUUUUACUUUCUCUUGACCCAAGGGGCAUCUACACUAAGCUCAACAAAACUGAGCCACCCAUAUCAACAACUCUUUUCAUUGCUUUCGUUGGUCCAGAUCCCUCAUCAUCCUUUUAAUCCUUAUUAUCUUCAUUCUAUAAUUGAACUCAAUGCCGUCGGCCUAUCAUAACCCCGUCUAAAUAGGAAUCUUUUUAUCAUCUCCUCGAAUAAGUCCAUCCAAGUCUCUCUAAUUAGUGUAUGGGCCAGUAAAAGUUGGUCCUGAGCUUACUUCCCCGCUAGUAAAUCAAGUCAACGAAUGCAAUGUAGGAAGCAUAAAACUCAUGCACCACCUAUGGGCUAUAGGAUCCGAAAGUAUCAUCCAUCCAUUUGAGUCUAUAUCUAUCAAAGAUAUCCUUAAGGACCGGAAUUCAUCUAAAUCUGUGAUCCCAAUGCGGGGCUCUUCAGCUAUGCUUUACCUAGGUCUGCCCUGAUUAGUCAUCUCAAUAUCGUGGUCAUAUAUAAUUUUCAUGUUAUUCACACACCAUGUAACACCCCAACUUUUUUACCUUUGAAAUUUCUUGACUUUUGUGUUUGCUGCACAGGUAACGGCUCAUCUAACGAGUAGUGAAGACUCAUUACAAGUUGUAG